GCUCCUUUAGCUCAGUCGGUAGAGCUACGGACUUUUAAUCCGCAGGUCCUCGGUUCGAGCCCGAGAGGGAGCACCA
This 76-nucleotide transfer RNA is filed under the name Segniliparus rugosus ATCC BAA-974. Its description in RNAcentral is "tRNA-Lys". It matches the Rfam family "tRNA". From Rfam's summary of the family: Transfer RNA (tRNA) molecules are approximately 80 nucleotides in length. Their secondary structure includes four short double-helical elements and three loops (D, anti-codon, and T loops). Further hydrogen bonds mediate the characteristic L-shaped molecular structure. tRNAs have two regions of fundamental functional importance: the anti-codon, which is responsible for specific mRNA codon recognition, and the 3' end, to which the tRNAs corresponding amino acid is attached (by aminoacyl-tRNA synthetases). tRNAs cope with the degeneracy of the genetic code in two manners: having more than one tRNA (with a specific anti-codon) for a particular amino acid; and 'wobble' base-pairing, i.e. permitting non-standard base-pairing at the 3rd anti-codon position. Lineage: Bacteria; Bacillati; Actinomycetota; Actinomycetes; Mycobacteriales; Segniliparaceae. The record is from RNAcentral.